This 253-nucleotide ribosomal RNA is filed under the name uncultured bacterium. RNAcentral describes it as "partial 16S ribosomal RNA". It matches the Rfam family "Bacterial small subunit ribosomal RNA", at positions 524 to 776 of the family's 1533-position model. The record is from RNAcentral.
UACGGAGGGUGCGAGCGUUGUCCGGAAUCACUGGGCGUAAAGGGCGCGUAGGUGGCGCGGGAAGUCAACGGUGAAAGUUCGGGGCUCAACCCUGAAUCGGCCGUCGAUACUCCCGGGCUCGAGCACUGUAGAGGCAGAUGGAAUUCCGGGUGUAGCGGUGGAAUGCGUAGAGAUCCGGAAGAACACCGGUGGCGAAGGCGGGCUGCUGGGCAGUUGCUGACACUGAGGCGCGACAGCGUGGGGAGCAAACAGG